UACAGGGGGCUCGAGCGUUACGCGGAAUCACUGGGCUUAAAGGGUGCGUAGGCGGAUUAAUAAGUCAGUGGUGAAAGCCGGUAGCUUAACUAUCGAAUUGCCAUUGAAACUGUUAGUCUUGAGUAUAGUUGAGGUAGUUGGAAUGUAUCAUGUAGCGGUGAAAUGCUUAGAUAUGAUACAGAACACCGAUUGCGAAGGCAGAUUACUAAACUAUAACUGACGCUGAGGCACGAAAGCGUGGGGAUCAAACAGG
RNAcentral lists this ribosomal RNA (253 nucleotides) under uncultured bacterium. RNAcentral's name for it is "partial 16S ribosomal RNA". It matches the Rfam family "Bacterial small subunit ribosomal RNA", at positions 524 to 776 of the family's 1533-position model. The record is from RNAcentral.